RNAcentral lists this ribosomal RNA (1490 nucleotides) under uncultured Erysipelotrichia bacterium. Its description in RNAcentral is "uncultured Erysipelotrichi bacterium 16S ribosomal RNA". It matches the Rfam family "Bacterial small subunit ribosomal RNA". Lineage: Bacteria; Bacillati; Bacillota; Erysipelotrichia. The record is from RNAcentral.
GAUAAACGCUGGCGGCAUGCCUAAGACAUGCAAGUCGUACGAGAUGCCCCACUGAUAUUUGAAAGAAGUUGAAGAGCUUGCUCGGAUACCGAUUGAUUUUGGACGUGGAUUCUGCAUCUAGUGGCGAACGGGUGAGUAACACGUAGAUUAUCUACCUUUAAGUUGGGGAUAACAGUUGGAAACGGCUGCUAAUACCGAAUGUGAUAGUAAUAUUAAAGAAGCCUUCAAGCUUCGCUUAGAGAUGAGUCUGCGGCGUAUUAGUUAGUUGGUGGGGUAAUGGCCUACCAAGACGACGAUGCGUAGCCGAACUGAGAGGUUGAUCGGCCACACUGGGACUGAGACACGGCCCAGACUCCUACGGGAGACAGCAGUUAGGAAUAUUCGUCAAUGGGGGAAACCCUGAACGAGCAAUGCCGCGUGAAUGAUGAAGGCCCUUUGGGUUGUAAAAUUCUUUUAUUUGGGAAGAACAGCAGGAGUAGGAAAUGGCUUCUGUUUGACGGUACCUUUUGAAUAAGCUCCGGCUAACUACGUGCCAGCAGCCGCGGUAAUACGUAGGGAGCGAGCGUUAUCCGGAUUUAUUGGGCGUAAAGGGUGCGUAGGCGGUUUAUUAAGUCUAAAGUCAAAGCCCGAGGCUUAACCUCGGUUCGCUUUAGAUACUGGUAGACUUGAGUAUGGUAGAGGCAAGUGGAAUUCCUAGUGUAGCGGUGGAAUGCGUAGAUAUUAGGAGGAACACCAGUGGCGAAGGCGGCUUGCUGGGCCAUUACUGACGCUGAGGCACGAAAGCGUGGGGAGCAAAUAGGAUUAGAUACCCUAGUAGUCCACGCCGUAAACGAUGAGUACUAAGUGUCGGGCAACCGGUGCUGAAGUUAACACAUUAAGUACUCCGCCUGAGUAGUACGGUCGCAAGACUGAAGCUCAAAGGAAUUGACGGGCACCCGCACAAGCGGUGGAGCAUGCUGUUUAAUUCGAAAAUACGCGAAGAACCUUACCUAGACUUGACAUCCCUGGCAAAGCUAUAGAAAUAUAGUGGAGGCUAUCCGGGUGACAGGUGGUGCAUGGUUGUCGUCAGCUCGUGUCGUGAGAUGUUCGGUUAAGUCCGCUAACGAGCGCAACCCUUAUCUUUAGUUGCUAACAUUUAGUUGAGAACUCUAAAGAGACUGCCGGUGAUAAACCGGAGGAAGGUGGGGAUGACGUCAAAUCAUCAUGCCCCUUAUGUCUAGGGCUACAGGCGUGCUACAAUGGCUGGUACAACGAGUUGCGAUACCGCGAGGUGGAGCUAAUCUCUUAAAGCCAGUCUCAGUUCGGAUUGAAGUCUGCAACUCGACUUCAUGAAGCUGAAAUCGCCAGUAAUCCCGAAUCAGAAUGUCGGGGUGAAUACGUUCUCGGGUGUUGUACACACCGCCCGUCACGGCAUGGGAGUCAGUAAUAUCCAAAAUCGGUAGCCUAACCCUUAUGGGAGGGGGCCGCUUAAGGUAGGACUGGCGACUGGG